This 136-nucleotide small RNA is filed under the name Staphylococcus arlettae. Its description in RNAcentral is "Ribosomal protein L10 leader". It matches the Rfam family "Ribosomal protein L10 leader". Rfam says of the family: This family is a putative r-protein leader autoregulatory structure found in B. subtilis and other low-GC Gram-positive bacteria. It is located in the 5' untranslated regions of mRNAs encoding ribosomal proteins L10 and L12 (rplJ-rplL). The record is from RNAcentral. RNAcentral also lists the same sequence under 1 other name. Lineage: Bacteria; Bacillati; Bacillota; Bacilli; Caryophanales; Staphylococcaceae.
UAUGUGAUUAUUUUACCUAAGACAGUAGGAGUUAUACAUUAACUUAAAAUUACAUCCUGCCGAGGCUAAAAUUGACUUGAACGUGAAGAAACUUUCAAGCACUUUUUGCCGUGGGUAGAAAGUGCUUUUUUUAUUG